CAUAUCAAUAAGCGGAGGAAAAGAAACCAACCGGGAUUGCCUCAGUAACGGCGAGUGAAGCGGCAAGAGCUCAAAUUUGAAAGCUGGCUCCUUCGGGGUCCGCAUUGUAAUUUGCAGAGGAUGCUUCGGGUGCGGCCCCUGUCUAAGUGCCCUGGAACGGGCCGUCAGAGAGGGUGAGAAUCCCGUCUGGGAUGGGGUGUCCGCGCCCGUGUGAAGCUCCUUCGACGAGUCGAGUUGUUUGGGAAUGCAGCUCUAAAUGGGUGGUAAAUUUCAUCUAAAGCUAAAUACUGGCCGGAGACCGAUAGCGCACAAGUAGAGUGAUCGAAAGAUGAAAAGCACUUUGAAAAGAGAGUUAAAAAGCACGUGAAAUUGUUGAAAGGGAAGCGCUUGCGACCAGACUCGCCUCCAGGGUUCAGCCGGCAUUCGUGCCGGUGUACUUCCCUGGGGGCGGGCCAGCGUCGGUUUGGGCGGCCGGUCAAAGGCUCCCGGAAUGUAGUGCCCUCCGGGGCACCUUAUAGCCGGGAGUGCAAUGCGGCCAGCCUGGACCGAGGAACGCGCUUCGGCACGGACGCUGGCAUAAUGGUCGUAAACGAC
Molecule: ribosomal RNA, 594 nt
Filed under: Aspergillus flavus
Lineage: Eukaryota; Fungi; Ascomycota; Eurotiomycetes; Eurotiales; Aspergillaceae
Description: eukaryotic LSU rRNA
Rfam family: Eukaryotic large subunit ribosomal RNA
Source: RNAcentral